RNAcentral lists this ribosomal RNA (657 nucleotides) under uncultured fungus. RNAcentral describes it as "eukaryotic LSU rRNA". It matches the Rfam family "Eukaryotic large subunit ribosomal RNA", at positions 24 to 664 of the family's 3401-position model. The record is from RNAcentral. Lineage: Eukaryota; Fungi.
CCCGCUGAACUUAAGCAUAUCAAUAAGCGGAGGAAAAGAAACUAACAAGGAUUCCCCUAGUAACGGCGAGUGAAGCGGGAAGAGCUCAAAUUUAAAAUCUGGCAGUCUUUGAUUGUCCGAGUUGUAAUCUAGAGAAGCGUUUUCCGCGCUGGACCAUGCAUAAGUCUCCUGGAAUGGAGCGUCAUAGAGGGUGAGAAUCCCGUAUAUGGCACGGACUGCCGUUGCUCUGUGAUACACUCUCGACGAGUCGAGUUGUUUGGGAAUGCAGCUCUAAAUGGGUGGUAAAUGCCAUCUAAAGCUAAAUAUUGGCGAGAGACCGAUAGCGAACAAGUACCGUGAGGGAAAGAUGAAAAGCACUUUGGAAAGAGAGUGAAACAGUACGUGAAAUUGUUGAAAGGGAAACGCUUGAAGUCAGUCGCGCCGUUCGGGAUUCAGCCUUGCUUCUGCUCGGUUCACUUCCCGUUGGGUGGGUCAACAUCAGUUUUGGUCAGAGGAGAAAGGCUUGGGGAAGGUGGCAGCAUUCGUGCUGUGUUAUAGCCCCUCGUUGUAUACUUUGACUGGGACUGAGGACCGCAGCACGCCUUUGGCCGGGGUUCGCCCACGUACGUGCUUAGGAUGUUGGCAUAAUGGCUUUAAGCGACCCGUCUUGAAACACGG